GAUGAACGCUGGCGGCGUGCCUAAUACAUGCAAGUCGAGCGAACAGACGAGGAGCUUGCUCCUCUGACGUUAGCGGCGGACGGGUGAGUAACACGUGGAUAACCUACCUAUAAGACUGGGAUAACUUCGGGAAACCGGAGCUAAUACCGGAUAAUAUAUUGAACCGCAUGGUUCAAUAGUGAAAGACGGUUUUGCUGUCACUUAUCGAUGGAUCCGCGCCGCAUUAGCUAGUUGGUAAGGUAACGGCUUACCAAGGCAACGAUGCGUAGCCGACCUGAGAGGGUGAUCGGCCACACUGGAACUGAGACACGGUCCAGACUCCUACGGGAGGCAGCAGUAGGGAAUCUUCCGCAAUGGGCGAAAGCCUGACGGAGCAACGCCGCGUGAGUGAUGAAGGUCUUCGGAUCGUAAAACUCUGUUAUUAGGGAAGAACAAAUGUGUAAGUAACUAUGCACAUCUUGACGGUACCUAAUCAGAAAGCCACGGCUAACUACGUG
RNAcentral lists this ribosomal RNA (497 nucleotides) under uncultured bacterium. Its description in RNAcentral is "partial 16S ribosomal RNA". It matches the Rfam family "Bacterial small subunit ribosomal RNA", at positions 28 to 507 of the family's 1533-position model. The record is from RNAcentral.